This 396-nucleotide ribosomal RNA is filed under the name uncultured bacterium. Its description in RNAcentral is "bacterial SSU rRNA". It matches the Rfam family "Bacterial small subunit ribosomal RNA", at positions 29 to 430 of the family's 1533-position model. The record is from RNAcentral.
AUUGAACGCUGGCGGCAUGCCUUACACAUGCAAGUCGAACGGUAACGCGGGGCAACCUGGCGACGAGUGGCGAACGGGUGAGUAAUACAUCGGAACGUGCCCAGUAGUGGGGGAUAGCCCGGCGAAAGCCGGAUUAAUACCGCAUACGACCUACGGGUGAAAGCGGGGGAUCGCAAGACCUCGCGCUAUUGGAGCGGCCGAUGUCAGAUUAGGUAGUUGGUGGGGUAAAGGCCUACCAAGCCUACGAUCUGUAGCUGGUCUGAGAGGACGACCAGCCACACUGGGACUGAGACACGGCCCAGACUCCUACGGGAGGCAGCAGUGGGGAAUUUUGGACAAUGGGCGCAAGCCUGAUCCAGCCAUGCCGCGUGCGGGAAGAAGGCCUCGGUUGUAACG